Molecule: long non-coding RNA, 492 nt
Organism: Mauremys mutica (yellowpond turtle)
Lineage: Eukaryota; Metazoa; Chordata; Testudines; Geoemydidae
Exons: 3
Source: RefSeq, a predicted model, not a curated record
GAGAGGCCAGAUGCUGAUGCCCUAGCUCCCGCUGGGGAGACUCCUGCUGCCUGCGACUGACCCGAGGACUGGCCAUACUUGCGGAGACUGGACGCCGACCAGAUGCUGGAAGAGCCCCUAAGCCGACCGGUACAAAGGGACCCCGAGGAGCUGCCCAGUUUACCCCUCGCUCAGUACCCCGAGGAGUCCCUGGUGUGGGACGCUGUGGAAGACGCCGCUGAGACACAGACUAUAUGAAACAAACCAGAAAAGAGCCAAGAGUUUUGUCACUUAUUGUUUGUCAUCAACAAUGAAGAGCAAGGCCAAUUAUUAUUAGCAGCCCUGCACAAAUCCUGGCUUCCAUUUGCCAUCGGUCCCCAUGGAAACUAGGCUGCUUACGGUGACUGUGAUCCAGUGCAAGAGGACACUCACAAUCACACACCAUGCCAUGCCUCCUGCUUCAUGAACCAUUCUGUUCGCUUGUUGUUCAUUUUGCAGGGGCGGGGGUGUAAA